This 280-nucleotide unclassified non-coding RNA is filed under the name plant metagenome. RNAcentral's name for it is "partial contains small subunit ribosomal RNA and internal transcribed spacer 1". The stretch from base 1 to 46 matches the Rfam family "Eukaryotic small subunit ribosomal RNA", at positions 1786 to 1831 of the family's 1831-position model. The record is from RNAcentral.
AAGUCGUAACAAGGUUUCCGUAGGUGAACCUGCGGAAGGAUCAUUACGCAUAGGGACUGGCAGCCGAGUCCCCACCUAGCGAAAAUUAGGUGGGGUAAGGUGCGCCAGCAACCCCCCGACGCAUACUCUGACCUGGGCCCAGCCCCGGCCAUCCUGGCCCUUUUUUUUGGAAGGCCAUCAUUUUCGUUUCCCUCGGGCGGGGCUUUGCCCGCCACUGGGGGACCCUCAAAAACCUUUUUGUAAUGAGAAGUAACAGUAUCAUAAAAAAACUUUAUCACAA